GCGCAUAAUGAAUGGCCCAAAACUUAAUUUUGUAUAUAGCCUAUCAUUCUUUCCUUCCUCUCUCCUUUGAUGGGAAUGUAAUAUAAUACACUUGAACAACUUGUUGGGCUAGCACAAAGGGAUCAUUGACAUAUGCUUUUGAUCCAUGUUUCAUUUCAAUAAGCCCGUGCCAUGGAUCAACAUUCAUACAAUUGUUGAUAUCAAACCAUCGGCACUUAAACAUAAUGACAUUAUUACCUCCAAGGUAGGUUAACUUGAUCAUUUCUUUGAGGAUUCCAUAGUAGUGACUCUCCGUCUCUGCCCACCAGCUACCCUUUAUAUACCCACUACUGUUCAUUGUACUCUUAUGAUAUCCAUAUUACUACGUGUGAAAUUUGAAACCAUUUACAUUACAGCUAUUAUAAUAUGUCAUGUACUUUAUUGGUCUGUAACCUAAUGGUCUUAGCUUCUUAGGUAUGGAUUCAUCCCC
This 469-nucleotide long non-coding RNA is filed under the name Elaeis guineensis (African oil palm). Its description in RNAcentral is "long non-coding RNA (EGUI_LNC057860)". The record is from RNAcentral. Lineage: Eukaryota; Viridiplantae; Streptophyta; Magnoliopsida; Arecales; Arecaceae.